CCCUAGUAACUGCGAGUGAAGCGGGAAAAGCUCAAAUUUAAAAUCUGGCGGUCUUUGGCCGUCCGAGUUGUAGUCUGGAGAAGUGCUUUCCGCGCUGGACCGUGUAUAAGUCUCUUGGAACAGAGCGUCAUAGAGGGUGAGAAUCCCGUCUUUGACACGGACUACCAGUGCUUUGUGAUGCGCUCUCAAAGAGUCGAGUUGUUUGGGAAUGCAGCUCAAAAUGGGUGGUGAAUUCCAUCUAAAGCUAAAUAUUGGCGAGAGACCGAUAGCGAACAAGUACCGUGAGGGAAAGAUGAAAAGCACUUUGGAAAGAGAGUUAAACAGUACGUGAAAUUGCUGAAAGGGAAACGCUUGAAGUCAGUCGCGUUGUCUGGGACUCAGCCUUGCUUUUGCUUGGUGCACUUUCCGGAUGACGGGCCAGCAUCGAUUUUGACCGUCGGAAAAGGGCUGGGGUAAUGUGGCACCUCCGGGUGUGUUAUAGACUUUAGUCGCAUACGGCGGUCGGGAUCGAGGAACGCAGCGCGCCGUAAGGCAGGGGUUCGCCCACUUUCGCGCUUAGGAUGCUGGCGUAAUGGCUUUAAACGACCCGUCUUGAAACACGGACCAAGGAGUCUAACAUACCUGCGAGUGUUUGGGUGGAAAACCCGAGCGCGUAAUGAAAGUGAAAGUUGAGACCUCUGUCGUGGAGGGCAUCGACGCCCGGACCUGACGUUCUCUGACGGAUCCGCGGUAGAGCAUGUAUGUUGGGACCCGAAAGAUGGUGAACUAUGCCUGAAUAGGGUGAAGCCAGAGGAAACUCUGGUGGAGGCUCGUAGCGAUUCUGACGUGCAAAUCGAUCGUCAAAUUUGGGUAUAGGGGCGAAAGACUAAUCG
This 872-nucleotide ribosomal RNA is filed under the name Sanguinoderma guangdongense. RNAcentral describes it as "Polyporaceae sp. YFS-2021a partial large subunit ribosomal RNA". It matches the Rfam family "Eukaryotic large subunit ribosomal RNA", at positions 78 to 937 of the family's 3401-position model. The record is from RNAcentral. Lineage: Eukaryota; Fungi; Basidiomycota; Agaricomycetes; Polyporales; Polyporaceae.